GAUGAACGCUGGCGGCGUGCUUAACACAUGCAAGUCGAACGGGAAUCAUCUUAUUGAGACUUCGGUGGAUUUAAAAUGAUUCUAGUGGCGGACGGGCGAGUAACGCGUGGGUAACCUGCCUUAUACUGGGGGAUAACAGCCGGAAACGGCUGCUAAUACCGCAUAAGCGCACGGGGGCGCAUGUUCCUGUGUGAAAAACUCCGGUGGUAUAAGAUGGACCCGCGUUGGAUUAGCUAGUUGGCAGGGCAGCGGCCUACCAAGGCGACGAUCCAUAGCCGGCCUGAGAGGGUGGACGGCCACAUUGGGACUGAGACACGGGCCCAGACUCCUACGGGAGGCAGCAGUGGGGAAUAUUGCACAAUGGGGGGAACCCUGAUGCAGCGACGCCGCGUGAAGGAGAAGUAUCUCGGUAUGUAAACUUCUAUCAGCA
This 430-nucleotide ribosomal RNA is filed under the name uncultured bacterium. Its description in RNAcentral is "bacterial SSU rRNA". It matches the Rfam family "Bacterial small subunit ribosomal RNA", at positions 28 to 441 of the family's 1533-position model. The record is from RNAcentral.